This 482-nucleotide ribosomal RNA is filed under the name uncultured bacterium. RNAcentral describes it as "partial 16S ribosomal RNA". It matches the Rfam family "Bacterial small subunit ribosomal RNA", at positions 30 to 507 of the family's 1533-position model. The record is from RNAcentral.
AUUGAACGCUGGCGGCAUGCCUUACACAUGCCAGUCGAACGGUAACAGGUCUUCGGAUGCUGACGAGUGGCGAACGGGUGAGUAAUACAUCGGAACGUGCCCGAUCGUGGGGGAUAACGAGGCGAAAGCUUUGCUAAUACCGCAUACGAUCUACGGAUGAAAGCGGGGGAUCUUCGGACCUCGCGCGGACGGAGCGGCCGAUGGCAGAUUAGGUAGUUGGUGGGAUAAAAGCUUACCAAGCCGACGAUCUGUAGCUGGUCUGAGAGGAUGAUCAGCCACACUGGGACUGAGACACGGCCCAGACUCCUACGGGAGGCAGCAGUGGGGAAUUUUGGACAAUGGGCGAAAGCCUGAUCCAGCCAUGCCGCGUGCAGGAUGAAGGCCUUCGGGUUGUAAACUGCUUUUGUACGGAACGAAAAGCCUCUUUCUAAUAAAGAGAGGUCAUGACGGUACCGUAAGAAUAAGCACCGGCUAACUACGUG